CUGUACUUGUUUGUCAAAUUUUGUAUUGCGAUGCAGAAUGUUUUGGUACUUUAUCAAUCAAGUAUAAUAAUCACAUGUAGGAGACCCUGUCACCGCUGGUUUCAAGGUAAGUAAUUGCUUUUAGAAAUUCCCUGUAUUUCACGAACAACCAAGGGCUAACUGAAUAGAGAUGAAUGGAUCCCUGAUAUUUUCAAAUAUACCUUAUUUCUGAAGUGAGAUUUAUUUCAAAGUAGCUCAACC
Non-coding RNA from Pelobates cultripes (western spadefoot toad), 240 nucleotides. NCBI's taxonomy places the organism in Eukaryota, Metazoa, Chordata, Amphibia, Anura, Pelobatidae. The record is from the annotation of a GenBank genome assembly.